GGAUCUGUAGCUCAAUCGGUAGAGCGGUCGCUUGAAGAGCCUCGCGUAGUUGGUUCAAUUCCAACCAGAUCCACCA
RNAcentral lists this transfer RNA (76 nucleotides) under Aureispira sp. RNAcentral describes it as "tRNA-Phe". It matches the Rfam family "tRNA". From Rfam's summary of the family: Transfer RNA (tRNA) molecules are approximately 80 nucleotides in length. Lineage: Bacteria; Pseudomonadati; Bacteroidota; Saprospiria; Saprospirales; Saprospiraceae. The record is from RNAcentral. RNAcentral also lists the same sequence under 1 other name.